RNAcentral lists this ribosomal RNA (476 nucleotides) under uncultured bacterium. RNAcentral's name for it is "partial 16S ribosomal RNA". It matches the Rfam family "Bacterial small subunit ribosomal RNA", at positions 28 to 523 of the family's 1533-position model. The record is from RNAcentral.
GAUGAACGCUGGCGGCGUGCUUAACACAUGCAAGUCGAGCGAGUGAGUUCUUCGGAACGAUCUAGCGGCGGACGGGUGAGUAACACGUGGGCAACCUGCCUCAUGGAGGGGAAUAGCCUCCCGAAAGGGAGCUUAAUACCGCAUAAAAUUAUCGAGUGGCGUCACAUGAUAAUCAAAGGAGUAAUCCGCUAUGAGAUGAGCCCGCGGCGCAUUAGCUAGUUGGUGAGGUAACGGCUCACCAAGGGGACGAUGCGUAGCCGACCUGAGGGGGUGAUCGGCCACAUUGGGACUGAGACACGGCCCAGACUCCUACUGGAGGCGUCAGUGGGGAAUAUUGCACAAUGGGGGAAACCCUGAUGCAGCAACGCCGCGUGAGUGAUGAAGUUCUUCGGAGUGUAAAGCUCUGUCUUUGGGUACGAUAAUGACGGAACCCAAGGAGGAAGCCACGGGUAACUACGUGCCAGCAGCCGCCGUAA